CUGGCCCCGACGGUGACGGAGGGCUUUGAUGAGGCCGGCGGCCGCGUGCUUGCCAGGAAGGCCCGGGGCUUGAGGCCCUGGAAGGCCUGGCCCGUUCAGGAGUCCCGGCUGUUUGGGGGAAUGUCCCACGCCCUGUGGGGAUUUGAGCCGUGUCUCCCGGCGACUUGGGUGUCCCGGUUGGUGUGUGGUCGGGCUGGGAGGGCGUUGGUGCGGGCGGGAACCGCCGGGUAGCGACCACGUCUCGUCAGGGGGUUCGUGCCUGCUGCUGGGCACGGGAACGGCUCCGGGGGGGUUUACGGGCGCUGAGGGGAUUCCGCAUCAUGGAGAGGUCAAGGGGAGUUGGUGGCCGUCACCCUUCGUCAGGGCAGGGUAGCAUCAGUGCCCCGUGCUGGGGUUCCUGGAGAGCCGGCUGGCACGGACAGACUCUUGUGAGGGCAAGUGGCUGAUCGUGCGUCGGAUGGGUCCAGCAAAGGAGAGAAAGCUUCGGUGCGCGCGCGCUCGCCAGGGAAAGGGUGACAGCGGGUGGGACCGAGAGGGAGAGAGAGAGAGGGAGAGAACAAAGGAAGAGAGAGGGUUUCCGCAGGGGCGGUGAGUCCUGGCGGAAGUCCUGAGGCAGAGGAGGUGCCAGGGGUUUGGGUUUCCCGGUCGUGUCGGGGGGUGGCGCAGGUUGCCCCAGUGGGCCUGAAUGUGCCUCCGUGGGGCACCUUGUUGCCGUGGGGGGCGGGGAGCCGGCCUUGGGGAUCCAUCUUUCGGGCCCUGGGACGUGGGAGAAGAAUGCCGGGGCCUCUCUCUGUGCCCCUGGCACGCCUCUGUGCAGGCCGGGCCUGCACCACCCCCCCCGUCCCCGGCAGGGUCCGUGUGGCUGCAGACACCCAGAGAGAGGGGGGCUGGGGAGGCUGGGGAGCCGUGGCAGCCCGAUGCAGUGCGGGUCUCCAGGUGGAGGGGCCCUGGUCCCUGGCGCCAGCGUGGCCCUUCCUCCUUGUGGAAACCCUUGUGGUGUGUGUGCUCUCUCGCCCUGACCCAGGAGAGCAGCAUGGCGGACCCCUGAUCUUGUGGCGUGCCACCGCGCGAGGCCGAGGAGCUCCCGCAGACCAGUGGGCGUGGCGUCCUUGUCGCGGCUCUGUGGAGACCUGGCGAUGGAGAGCAGCAUGGCGGACCCCUGAUCUUGUGGCGUGCCACCGCGCGAGGCCGAGGAGCUCCCGCAGCCCAGUGGGCGUGGCGUCCUUGUCGCGGCUCUGUGGAGACCUGGCGAUGGAGAGCAGCAUGGCGGACCCCUGAUCUUGUGGCGUGCCACCGCGCGAGGCCGAGGAGCUCCCGCAGACCAGUGGGCGUGGCGUCCUUGUCGCGGCUCUGUGGAGACCUGGCGAUGGUGAGCGGCCCCUGUCCUCAGUGGUGGAGAACUCGCCCUUGGGGCGCUCGUCUGUCCGGAGCCCCGGGCCAGCCCCGCUUCUCGCGGGCUUUGGCCCCGGCAGGCCAGCUCCGGGGCGUGAGGGGGAGCGUCCCGUCCUGCCCAGUGGCUCGUCUGUCUGGGCACGCCCCCAAACGCUGCCGUGAUGGAGCGGGUGGGAUGUCCAGGUGCGGAGGCCGUGAAUUUGCCUUGCGGCGGCGGAGCCCGUGCUCGGAUCGAUGAUGACUCCCUCUAAAGCAUUCCUUGGAAAUCUGAACAAAAUGAGUGAGAACUCACUACCGUCUCCUCAUCGAAACUGAGGUCCGGCACGUGGCGGCCACCGGGGGCUCGGGGUAGAUGGGCCCUUGGCCUUGGGGCCUCUGGUGUCAGCAGCCACUCGGGUGAGGUCUGGGGAAGGCGGCCGCCUGCCGGGCCCAGGAAGCAUGGGGCCCGUCGCCCGGCGCUGGCCUCGGGGGAGAGGCCGCGUGCCCGAGCGUGCUGGAGAUCCCGGGCGGCCUCCCGCCGGCCUUGGGGGUUUCGCAAGCCGUCGCGGGGGCCGAAAUUUGGGCCCGGCCCGCGAGGCAAGUGUGCGGCCCUAGGGCCCCAGGGGGCGUCCUGGCCCAGGCCGGGCGCCCUUCUCAGGAUGCUGUGGGGAGACGGGAUCCCGGCAGGGUAGUGUUCUCUUUCUGCUCUGGGGACCCCUGAGGGCCACCUGCUGCAGGGGGUCUGUGGUAGCGGGGGCCCUUGGAUCAGGGCCGUCCCCCAUGGGAGGGGGCAGCCUGGGAACCCCUGAGGGCGCUCCCCUGGGACGUCCAGGGAUGUUGGGGCGGAGGCUGGGGCUGGGUGGCGAGAAGGGGGCAGCUGAAGUGGUGAGCGACAGGCGGGCAGAGG
Molecule: long non-coding RNA, 2278 nt
Filed under: Sus scrofa (pig)
Lineage: Eukaryota; Metazoa; Chordata; Mammalia; Artiodactyla; Suidae
Description: lncRNA (ENSSSCG00070018975.1)
Rfam family: Small nucleolar RNA SNORD116 (bases 1621-1712)
Source: RNAcentral